UGUCUCUAGAUUACUUUUAAUACGAAUACAAUGUCUGUGCUAUGUAAAGAGUUACUGCACUAUAUUGUUUAGGGAGUGAUGACAAGGAAAUAGUCCAUCCAUCUGAAACCAUCUGCAAAGAAAGCUAAAUACCAGUAUGGUGGACUGAAUUCUGGAUGCCCUGUCACUCCACCUCCAACAGCUAAUCCACUGAAGAAAAGGUGAAGAAGGAAUUCUAUAAAGAAACCACCAGAUUUGUUAAGGACAUACUUUAUAACAUAUAGAAGUGUGCACUGUAAAACCAUCCAGCCAUUUGACACCCUUUAUGAUGUCACACCUUUAACUUAAGGAGACGGGUAUAGGAUCUUAAAUUUUUUUCUAAUAGAAAGAUGUGCUACACUGGAUUGUAAUAAGUAUAUUCUGUUGUAUUCAACAAAGUUAAAUCCAAAUUCAAAAUUAUCCAUUCAGGUUACAUCUUCACGUAUCACAAUUUUUAAAGUUGAAAAGCAUCCCAGUUAAACUAGAUGUGAUAAUUAAACCAGAUGAAAGCAUGAUGAUCCAUCUGUGUAAUGUGGUUAAUUCGCACGAAACACCUUUUGGCAUGCUUAACUUUCUGGUAACACCCUCACCUGCAUUGGUUUUGUUUUUUGGGAUUUUUGUUGUUGCUGUUGUUGUUGGUUUUGUUUUUAGAUCCACAAAACAUGAGAAUCCUUUUUUGACAAGCCUUGGAAAGCUGACACUAUCUCUUUUUUUCUCCCUUUAUACGAAGGAUGUAUUUAAUUGAAUGCUGGUCAGUGGGACAUUUUGUCAACUAUGGCUAUUGGGUGCUUAACUGUCUAAUAUUGCCAUGUGAAUGUCGUAUACGAUUGUAAGGCUUAUGUCACUAAAGAUUUUUAUUCUGAUUUUUCAUAAUCAAAGUUCAUAUGAUAUUGUAUAGAUAUGCUUUGUAGUGAACUAUAGUAGCAAUAACUUCUGUAUGUGAUUGAGAGUUUAUUGCAGCAUUUCUUUUCCUGUUCUCUUUUUUUAAGGGUUAGCAUUAACAUGGCAAGGAAUAGAAAAGUCACCAUAAAGAUUUUAGAAGGAGAACUUACAGAGCACAGAUUUGUGAUUGUUUGGAUGUGACACUAUUGGAUGUGACUCUAAAACUUCUAUUGAGCAUUGUCAAAUUUGUAAGCUUCAUAGGGAUGGACAUCACAUCUAUAAUGCCCUUCUGUAUGUGCUACCAUAGAUGUGAAAUUCUUGACCUUAAUAUUGUUUUUGAAAAUGUUAAAUUGAGAAUUCUGUUAACUUACAGUUUAUGAAUUGGUGCAUUGUAUUACUGCAAGAAAUAUUUGAUUUUCAGCACAGUGCAAAGUUUCCUUAAACUGCAUGUCUUUUUUUUCCUAAUUCUAUUUUGUUUUAAAGCACAUUUUAAAUGUAGUUUUCUCAUUUAGUAAAAGUUGUCUAAUUGAAAAACUAAUAAAAAUAAAUAAAUAAAACA
This 1459-nucleotide long non-coding RNA is filed under the name Oryctolagus cuniculus (rabbit). RNAcentral describes it as "lncRNA (ENSOCUG00000034728.1)". Lineage: Eukaryota; Metazoa; Chordata; Mammalia; Lagomorpha; Leporidae. The record is from RNAcentral.